Molecule: transfer RNA, 57 nt
Filed under: Bos taurus (domestic cattle)
Lineage: Eukaryota; Metazoa; Chordata; Mammalia; Artiodactyla; Bovidae
Also listed under: 4 other names
Rfam family: tRNA
About the family: Transfer RNA (tRNA) molecules are approximately 80 nucleotides in length. Their secondary structure includes four short double-helical elements and three loops (D, anti-codon, and T loops). Further hydrogen bonds mediate the characteristic L-shaped molecular structure. tRNAs have two regions of fundamental functional importance: the anti-codon, which is responsible for specific mRNA codon recognition, and the 3' end, to which the tRNAs corresponding amino acid is attached (by aminoacyl-tRNA synthetases). tRNAs cope with the degeneracy of the genetic code in two manners: having more than one tRNA (with a specific anti-codon) for a particular amino acid; and 'wobble' base-pairing, i.e. permitting non-standard base-pairing at the 3rd anti-codon position.
Source: Rfam by way of RNAcentral
UGGCUCAGACGGUAAAGCGUCUGUCUACAAUGCAGGAGACCCAGGUUCAAUCCCUGG